RNAcentral lists this ribosomal RNA (253 nucleotides) under uncultured bacterium. RNAcentral describes it as "partial 16S ribosomal RNA". It matches the Rfam family "Bacterial small subunit ribosomal RNA", at positions 524 to 776 of the family's 1533-position model. The record is from RNAcentral.
GACAGAGGGUGCAAACGUUGUUCGGAUUUACUGGGCGUAAAGAGCGCGCAGGCGGCUGGCCAAGUCCGAUGUGAAAUCUCCCGGCUUAACCGGGAAACUGCAUCGGAAACUGGUCGGCUUGAAGGUGGGAGAGGGUAGCGGAAUUCCCGGUGUAGUGGUGAAAUGCGUAGAUAUCGGGAGGAACACCAGUGGCGAAGGCGGCUACCUGGCCCAUUCUUGACGCUGAGGCGCGAAAGCUAGGGGAGCGAACGGG